This is a ribosomal RNA of Cebus imitator (Panamanian white-faced capuchin), 116 nucleotides long. NCBI's taxonomy places the organism in Eukaryota, Metazoa, Chordata, Mammalia, Primates, Cebidae. The record is from Ensembl.
GUCUACGGCCAUACCACUCUGAAUGCACCAAAUCUCAUCUGAUCUCAGAAGCUAAGCAGGGUCAGGCCUGGUUAGUACUUGGAUGAGAGAAAAUGGACACCCUGCAGCCUUCCAGA